RNAcentral lists this ribosomal RNA (426 nucleotides) under uncultured bacterium. RNAcentral's name for it is "partial 16S ribosomal RNA". It matches the Rfam family "Bacterial small subunit ribosomal RNA", at positions 354 to 796 of the family's 1533-position model. The record is from RNAcentral.
GUGAGGAAUUUUCCGCAAUGGGCGAAAGCCUGACGGAGCAAUGCCGCGUGAAGGAUGAAGGCCUAUGGGUUGUAAACUUCUUUUCUCAGAAAAGAAUUAUGACGGUAUCUGAGGAAUAAGCAUCGGCUAACUCUGUGCCAGCAGCCGCGGUAAGACAGAGGAUGCAAGCGUUAUCCGGAAUGAUUGGGCGUAAAGCGUCUGUAGGUUGUUUAAAAAGUAUUCUGUCAAAGAUUAGGGCUUAACCCUAGAUAGGCAGAAUAAACUUUUAAGCUAGAGUUUGGUAGAGGCAGGGGGAAUUCCCGGUGGGGCGGUGAAAUGCGUAGAUAUCGGGAGGAACACCAAAGGCGAAGGCACUCUGCUGGGCCAAUACUAACACUGAGAGACGAAAGCGAGGGGAGCAAAUGGGAUUAGAAACCCGUGUAGUCC